RNAcentral lists this signal recognition particle RNA (243 nucleotides) under bovine gut metagenome. Its description in RNAcentral is "Bacterial large signal recognition particle RNA". It matches the Rfam family "Bacterial large signal recognition particle RNA". Rfam says of the family: The signal recognition particle (SRP) is a universally conserved ribonucleoprotein involved in the co-translational targeting of proteins to membranes. The record is from RNAcentral.
UCCGGGGAAGCAGCGGAUCCCUGUACCCGAAAUCCGCUACAGCGGGGGAUAUGCCUUUUUCGAGGGAGCGGUCCGUGCGGUCCGCGCAGUGCGGCGGAGCGUUGAAGGAUGGGUCCUGCGCAAUUCGCGCCCGUGAACCAUGUCAGGCGGGGAACCGAGCAGCAUUAAGCGGUGCCGCGGAUGUGCCGCGGGGAUGCCUGUCCGGAGCCGAGCCGCCCUGUUUCCGCGUGUGGGGCGCUUUCG